GUGCCGUACUGCCGCGGCCGGUCCUUUCCUUCUGGUGUCAACCGGUGUGCCUCGCAAGGGGCGUGCCGGCGAGCCAGGACGUUUACCUUGAAAAAAUUAGAGUGUUUAAAGCAGGCUCACGCUUGAAUACAUUAGCAUGGAAUAACGAAAUAGGACGUUUGAUUCUAUUUUGUUGGUUUC
This 180-nucleotide ribosomal RNA is filed under the name uncultured Glomeromycotina. RNAcentral's name for it is "partial small subunit ribosomal RNA". The stretch from base 72 to 180 matches the Rfam family "Eukaryotic small subunit ribosomal RNA", at positions 741 to 852 of the family's 1831-position model. The record is from RNAcentral. Lineage: Eukaryota; Fungi; Glomeromycota.